RNAcentral lists this non-coding RNA (77 nucleotides) under uncultured Ponticaulis sp. RNAcentral's name for it is "Glycine riboswitch". It matches the Rfam family "Glycine riboswitch aptamer", at positions 8 to 87 of the family's 94-position model. Rfam says of the family: This family represents the bacterial glycine riboswitch. Glycine riboswitches usually consist of two metabolite-binding aptamers domains with similar structures in tandem. The aptamers cooperatively bind glycine to regulate the expression of downstream genes. Lineage: Bacteria; Pseudomonadati; Pseudomonadota; Alphaproteobacteria; Hyphomonadales; Hyphomonadaceae. The record is from RNAcentral.
CUGCGGGAGACACUGGCUACGGGCCAGGGCCGAAGGCGCAACCGCCCCGGAAACGCUCAGGCAAAAGGACCGCAGAC